UACGUAGGUGGCGAGCGUUGUCCGGAUUUAUUGGGUUUAAAGGGUGCGCAGGCGGCCCUGUAAGUCAGUGGUGAAAUACGGCAGCUCAACUGUCGGGGUGCCAAUGAUACUGCGGGGCUUGAGUACGUUCGAGGCAGGCGGAAUUGACGGUGUAGCGGUGAAAUGCAUAGAUAUCGUCAAGAACACCGAUAGCGGAGGCAGCCUGCUAGGCUGUAACUGACGCUGAGGCACGAAAGUGCGGGGAUCAAACAGG
Molecule: ribosomal RNA, 253 nt
Filed under: uncultured bacterium
Lineage: Bacteria
Description: partial 16S ribosomal RNA
Rfam family: Bacterial small subunit ribosomal RNA
Source: RNAcentral